RNAcentral lists this ribosomal RNA (916 nucleotides) under bacterium. RNAcentral describes it as "partial 23S ribosomal RNA". It matches the Rfam family "Bacterial large subunit ribosomal RNA", at positions 1 to 980 of the family's 2925-position model. The record is from RNAcentral.
AGUGACUAAAGAGCGUUCGGUGGAUGCCUUGGCACCAAGAGGCGAUGAAGGACGUGGCACGCUGCGAAAAGCCGCGGGGAGAUGCGAGCGAUCGUUGAUCCGCGGAUGUCCGAAUGGGGAAACCCCUCCUUUAUGGAGAUCACGUACUGAAUACAUAGGUACGUGAGGCAAACCCGGGGAACUGAAACAUCUCAGUACCUGGAGGAAAAGACAUCAAAUGAGAUUCCGCUAGUAGUGGCGAGCGAACGCGGAGCAGGCCAUUUGUUUUGCACAACUAAGCCGAACAGUCUGGAAAGGCUGACCAAAGUGGGUGAUGGUCCCGUAGGCGUGUUGAUGUGUGAAGCAAUCGAGUAAGGCGAGGCACGUGAAACCUUGUCUGAACAUAGGGGGACCACCCUCUAAGCCUAAAUACUCCUUGGUGACCGAUAGUGCACAAGUACCGUGAGGGAAAGGUGAAAAGCACCCCGACAAGGGGAGUGAAAGAGACCUGAAACCGGACGCUUACAAGCAGUCGGAGCUCUCUUGUGGAGUGACGGCGUACCUUUUGUAUAAUGGGUCCGCGAGUUCGUGUUGGCAGCAAGCUUAAGCCGUAAGGUGUAGGCGCAGCGAAAGCGAGUCUGAAUAGGGCGUCGAGUUGCCGGCAUGAGACCCGAAACCGAGUGAUCUAGCCAUGGCCAGGCUGAAGGUGGGGUAACACCUACUGGAGGGCCGAACCCACGCCUGUUGAAAAAGUCGGGGAUGAGCUGUGGCUAGGGGUGAAAGGCCAACCAAACCCGGAAAUAGCUGGUUCUCCGCGAAAUCUAUUGAGGUAGAUCGUCAGAUGGUCACCCUCGGAGGUAGAGCACCGGAAGGGCUAGGGGGGCCCAAAGCCUUACCAAACCCUACCGAACUCCGAAUGCCGAGGAGUGUAGUCUGG